RNAcentral lists this long non-coding RNA (423 nucleotides) under Nicotiana benthamiana. RNAcentral's name for it is "long non-coding RNA (NBEN_LNC007770)". The record is from RNAcentral. Lineage: Eukaryota; Viridiplantae; Streptophyta; Magnoliopsida; Solanales; Solanaceae.
UAGAUGUGAUGUUUCUUGUGCUUCAUGAUUUGUUGAGUCAUUACAGGCCGCGCUAACUGAUUCAACUUGGUUGUUUGAGGAGGAAGAAGGACGAAGGAACUCUACAGCAACGCUAUUUCUUGGUAAUGAAACAGGUAGCAUGUACUGAUUCAACUUGGUUGUUUGAGGAGGAAGAAGGACGAAGGAACUCUACAGCAACGCUAUUUCUUGGUAAUGAAACAGGUGAGAGAUCAAGUGGUGGAGGAGCCACAUCUUGUAAACGCCUCGAGCUGGAACUAGAACUAGAGCCAGAGCCAGAGCCAGAAUCGAAACCAGAGCCAGAGCUAGAAUUACUAGAGUUGGAUUGAAACGCAGGUGCAGCAGUCAGCAUUUGGACAACUUCCUUGAAAUUAACAGGUUCCACUCUGUAUAUUUUAGGACGUG